RNAcentral lists this ribosomal RNA (465 nucleotides) under Vreelandella stevensii. RNAcentral's name for it is "partial 16S ribosomal RNA". It matches the Rfam family "Bacterial small subunit ribosomal RNA", at positions 338 to 795 of the family's 1533-position model. The record is from RNAcentral. Lineage: Bacteria; Pseudomonadati; Pseudomonadota; Gammaproteobacteria; Oceanospirillales; Halomonadaceae.
CCUACGGGCGGCAGCAGUGGGGAAUAUUGGACAAUGGGGGCAACCCUGAUCCAGCCAUGCCGCGUGUGUGAAGAAGGCCCUCGGGUUGUAAAGCACUUUCAGUGAGGAAGAACGCCUGGUGGUUAAUACCCAUCAGUAAAGACAUCACUCACAGAAGAAGCACCGGCUAACUCCGUGCCAGCAGCCGCGGUAAUACGGAGGGUGCGAGCGUUAAUCGGAAUUACUGGGCGUAAAGCGCGCGUAGGUGGCUUGAUAAGCCGGUUGUGAAAGCCCCGGGCUCAACCUGGGAACGGCAUCCGGAACUGUCAAGCUAGAGUGCAGGAGAGGAAGGUAGAAUUCCCGGUGUAGCGGUGAAAUGCGUAGAGAUCGGGAGGAAUACCAGUGGCGAAGGCGGCCUUCUGGACUGACACUGACACUGAGGUGCGAAAGCGUGGGUAGCAAACAGGAUUAGAUACCCCGGUAGUC